CAGAAUUUAGUUUACUCAAAAUAUUGGCUUUGGAAGUUAAAGAUAAUUUAAAUAUUUUUUCUGA
This 64-nucleotide transfer RNA is filed under the name Metisotoma macnamarai. RNAcentral's name for it is "tRNA-Pro". The record is from RNAcentral. Lineage: Eukaryota; Metazoa; Arthropoda; Collembola; Entomobryomorpha; Isotomidae.